RNAcentral lists this ribosomal RNA (265 nucleotides) under uncultured archaeon. RNAcentral's name for it is "partial 16S ribosomal RNA". It matches the Rfam family "Archaeal small subunit ribosomal RNA", at positions 718 to 982 of the family's 1478-position model. The record is from RNAcentral.
AGUCACUGACAUUAGAUACCCCCGUAGUCCCAGCCGUAAACUAUGCGCGUUAGGUGUAUCGGUGACCACGAGUUACCGAGGUGCCGAAGGGAAACCGUGAAACGUGCCGCCUGGGAAGUACGGUCGCAAGGCUGAAACUUAAAGGAAUUGGCGGGGGAGCACCACAACAGGUGGAGCCUGCGGUUUAAUUGGACUCAACACCGUAAAACUCACCAGGGAAGACUGUUACAUGAAGGCCGAGAUGAAGACUCUGCUAGAUUUUCAG